GAUGAACGCUAGCGGCAGGCUUAAUACAUGCAAGUCGAGGGGCAGCAUGAGUGUAGCAAUACAUUUGAUGGCGACCGGCAAACGGGUGCGGAACACGUACACAACCUUCCUAUAAGUGGGGAAUAGCCCAGAGAAAUUUGGAUUAAUACCCCGUAACAUAAUGAUGUGGCAUCACAUUAUUAUUAUAGCUUCGGCGCUUAUUGAUGGGUGUGCGGCUGAUUAGAUAGUUGGCGGGUAACGGCCCACCAAGUCUACGAUCAGUAGCUGAUGUGAGAGCAUGAUCAGCCACACGGGCACUGAGACACGGGCCCGACUCCUACGGGAGGCAGCAGUAAGGAAUAUUGGUCAAUGGACGCAAGUCUGAACCAGCCAUGCCGCGUGAAGGAUUAAGGUCCUCUGGAUUGUAAACUUCUUUAUCUGGGACGAAAAAAGGGAUUCUUUCUCACUUGACGGUACCAGAGG
This 462-nucleotide ribosomal RNA is filed under the name uncultured bacterium. RNAcentral's name for it is "bacterial SSU rRNA". It matches the Rfam family "Bacterial small subunit ribosomal RNA", at positions 28 to 484 of the family's 1533-position model. The record is from RNAcentral.